RNAcentral lists this ribosomal RNA (466 nucleotides) under uncultured bacterium. RNAcentral's name for it is "partial 16S ribosomal RNA". It matches the Rfam family "Bacterial small subunit ribosomal RNA", at positions 28 to 507 of the family's 1533-position model. The record is from RNAcentral.
GAUGAACGCUGGCGGCGUGCUUAACACAUGCAAGUCGAACGGAAAGGCUCCUGCUUGCAGGGGUACUCGAGUGGCGAACGGGUGAGUAACACGUGGGUGAUCUGCCCAUCACUUCGGGAUAAGCCUGGGAAACUGGGUCUAAUACCGGAUAGGACGAUGGUUUGGAUGCCAUUGUGGAAAGUUUUUUCGGUGUGGGAUGAGCUCGCGGCCUAUCAGCUUGUUGGUGGGGUAAUGGCCUACCAAGGCGUCGACGGGUAGCCGGCCUGAGAGGGUGUACGGCCACAUUGGGACUGAGAUACGGCCCAGACUCCUACGGGAGGCAGCAGUGGGGAAUAUUGCACAAUGGGCGCAAGCCUGAUGCAGCGACGCCGCGUGGGGGAUGACGGCCUUCGGGUUGUAAACUCCUUUCGCUAGGGACGAAGCGCAAGUGACGGUACCUGGAGAAGAAGCACCGGCUAACUACGUG